GUGCCUCGGGGGGCAGCAGUAGGGAAUUUUCGUCAAUGGGCGCAAGCCUGAACGAGCAAUGCCGCGUGAACGAGGAAGGUCUUCGGAUCGUAAAGUUCUGUUGAAGGGGAAAAAGAGCGGAGAGAGGAAAUGAACUCCGAUUGAUAUUACCCUUCGAGGAAGUCACGGCUAACUACGUGCCAGCAGCCGCGGUAAUACGUAGGUGGCGAGCGUUAUCCGGAAUGAUUGGGCGUAAAGGGUGCGUAGGCGGCCUGCUAAGUUUGGAGUGAAAGGGACCGGCUCAACCGGUACAGGCUCUGUAAACU
This 305-nucleotide ribosomal RNA is filed under the name uncultured bacterium. Its description in RNAcentral is "bacterial SSU rRNA". It matches the Rfam family "Bacterial small subunit ribosomal RNA", at positions 333 to 634 of the family's 1533-position model. The record is from RNAcentral.